GUCGAACGGAUGAAUAAGCUUGCUUAUUUCGUUAGUGGCGCACGGGUGAGUACUUUUUAGCUAACCUGCCCUUUAGUGGGGGACAACAGAUGGAAACCUUUGCUAAUACCCCAUACUCCUGCUUAUCAUAAGGUAAGUUGGGAAAGACUUAUUGCUAAAGGAUGGGGCUUUAUGGUAUCAGCUAGUUGGUGGGGUAACGGCCUACCAAGGCUAUGACGCCUACCUGGUCUGAGAGGAUGAUCAGGCACACUGGAACUGAGACACGGUCCAGACUCCUACGGGAGGCAGCAGUGGGGAAUAUUGCACAAUGGAGGAAACUCUGAUGCAGCAACGCCGCGUGGAGGAUGACGCAUUUCGGUGUGUAAACUCCUUUUAUAAGGGAAGAUAAUGACGGCACUACCUUAUGAAUAAGCACCGGCUAACUCCGUGCCAGCAGCCGCGGUAAUACGGAGGGUGCAAGCGUUACUCGGAAUCACUGGGCGUAAAGGAUGCGUAGGCUGGAAAUCAAGUCGAGAGUGAAAUCCAACGGCUCAACCGUUGAACUGCUCUCGAAACUGGUUACCUAGAAUAUGGGAGAGGUAGAUGGAAUUGGUGGUGUAGGGGUAAAAUCCGUAGAUAUCACCAGGAAUACCGAUUGCGAAGGCGAUCUACUGGAACAUUAUUGACGCUGAGGCAUGAAAGCGUGGGGAGCCAAACAGGAUUAGAUACCCUGGUAGUCCACGCCCUAAACGAUGCACACUAGUUGUUGCGAUGCUAGUCAUUGCAGAAAUGCACUUAACAGAUUAAGUGUGCCGGCUGGGGAGUACGGUCGCCAGAUUAAAA
RNAcentral lists this ribosomal RNA (822 nucleotides) under uncultured bacterium. RNAcentral's name for it is "bacterial SSU rRNA". It matches the Rfam family "Bacterial small subunit ribosomal RNA", at positions 61 to 899 of the family's 1533-position model. The record is from RNAcentral.